GACGAACGCUGGCGGCGUGCUUAACACAUGCAAGUCGAACGGAAAGGCCCUGCUUUUGUGGGGUGCUCGAGUGGCGAACGGGUGAGUAACACGUGAGUAACCUGCCCUUGACUUUGGGAUAACUUAAGGAAACUGGGGCUAAUACCGGAUAGGAGCUCCUGCUGCAUGGAGGGGGUUGGAAAGUUUCGGCGGUUGGGGAUGGACUCGCGGCUUAUCAGCUUGUUGGUGGGGUAGUGGCUUACCAAGGCUUUGACGGGUAGCCGGCCUGAGAGGGUGACCGGCCACAUUGGGACUGAGAGACGGCCCAGACUCCUACGGGCGGCAGCAGUGGGGAAUAUUGCACAAUGGGCGGAAGCCUGAUGCAGCAACGCCGCGUGCGGGAUGACGGCCUUCGGGGUGUAAACCGCUUUCGCCUGUGACGAAGCGUGAGUGACGGUAAUGGGUAAAGAAGCACCGGCUAACUACGUG
This 468-nucleotide ribosomal RNA is filed under the name uncultured bacterium. RNAcentral describes it as "partial 16S ribosomal RNA". It matches the Rfam family "Bacterial small subunit ribosomal RNA", at positions 28 to 507 of the family's 1533-position model. The record is from RNAcentral.